UCCCGCCAUUUUGUGUCGGGUGAUUCGGGGGCGUUUGUAUGGAAACGUUUGGGCAAAUCUGGGGACAGCGGGAGACCUCUGCGGGGAUUUGGGAACCUUUUUGUGGAAAUGUGUGGAAUUACGUGUUAUUUUCUUCGUUUGCUCGUUUGAAAACGGGUCAUUCUGUGUGGUGAUAAAGGACUUGUUUGGAAAACAUGGUGACCUUGUGUGGAAAACUGGUGAAUUGGUUACGGUUUGUGGAACUGUGUGUGGAAAUAUGCUAAUUUUGUGUGUGGAAAAUGGUGUGGUAAUUUUAGCAUGAAAUGGGAGCUUUUUUAUGUGACGUGUGUGUUGUGCAACCUGUGGAAAAUUGUGUGGUGAUUGGGUAAAUGUCAGGAAAUAUGGUUAUUACGUGUGAGGUGAAUGGUGUGGGAAUUUGAAAACCUGUUUUGAGGGCACGUGAUGGUUUUUGUGUGGAAAACGGGUCAUUUUGUGUGGUGACGGGAGACCUCUCCAUGGGGAUGCGCUGGGCCGGCCCGUACGGGUCGUCUCGUCCACGGCUCUGCAGUCGACGGUGCGCGCGAUUUCUCUCACGUGAAAGUGUCUAACGCGGGUCUGCCGCUCUCGCAGGCGCCUCCUCGUGCCCCGUCCUGGAGCCGGCAGUGACAGGAGCAGGACUUGGAAACAUCCAAGGCUCCAUGGGUGAAGGCUUGUCCUUGUGCACCUGUCCUUGGAACCAGCUUAUUGCUGAGGAGGUGGAACGUGACAAUCAGCACCAGAAGUCAUGGGGUAGAAGGGUCUCUGACACCUGACGCAUCUGCAACCAGGUCUCUGUGCGGACUGUUCAGAAAUGGGCAUUUGGGGCCUGCACCAGUCUCCUGGAAACAGCUGAGCCAGCCCCUCCAGCAGCUGACAGGUAUUGGCAAACACCUGUGUCCUGGUAGAAGGCUGUCACCACUACAACUCCUUUUGAAGCACAUACAUGUAGCCUCAGGACCACUGGACUGAAGUCUGGCUGUGUUUGGAAUGACUGCAUGCUGCUGUGGGGCUUUAACGAGCUAUAGAAGAGAUCAGAAAGGAAACAACUCAGGUGGUUAUUUCUCCCUGUUGUGUAACCUAACCCAGCACGCCAGCUGCUCUCCUGGAAACUGGUUGAAACUAGACACAACCUACUUCCAAGAGGAAACCGUCAGAAAUCAGGUGAGGGACUGCAAUAUUAGAGCACAGAUAAAGCAUUUUUUUGAGACAGAGAAACCACUUCCGUUCUGAGCUUAAAGUCCUUAUGCUUAAGGAAAGUUUAAAAAGUGGUUUCAGAGGCCUGGCCUGGGGAAAAAACUGAAUUAGGUUGCUAAAGAACCACAGGCUGAACACAGACCUUGCCUUUGUGGUCCAUUGUUAUGUAGGUGAUGUCCCCCAGUUUCUAUACUGUGCUGGUGAUACCAGCCUUCUUGAAUGGACUUGCUCUUGUAUUUAUGCUUUCUUCUGCAUUUCACCUGCCAGCUACCUAGCAAUGUCUCUCAUACGCUAUGUAUCUUCAAACUGGAGUUCAGUGCAGGCCCUUGUGCCAUGCUCUAAGCUCUCGCUGUCGGCUGUUUCUGAGGGACCUAGAGAUGGCAACAUUAUCCCCAGAACCUUACCUUUCUCUUUCCCGGCUCCACCGCCAGCAGUGGAUUUAGAAAUUCAUUUAGAAAUGGGGGCGCAGACCGUGAGGUGCAGCAUCUCAUUGAAAACAACCCACAUUUUCCUCCAGGUAAAUAUCCGCCGGAAGCUUUAUUAAGACGUUGGGGGGAGGGCUAGGGCUAUAUCAUUUAGGAUAAGCUAGAAGCAAAAACCAAGACAUGUCAGUGGAAGAAGUUGAAAGCCAUGCGCAGGCCGUGGAAACAGGAGCUCCAGGCCCAGGUGCACAACAGGCCGCAGACCCACACACGCAGGCCGGCUCCAGAGCACCAAGACCGUGAGAAGAGCAGGCCCUUUGCAGCGGCAGCAGGAGCAGUGAGAGGGGUCUGGGCGAUGUGAACUAUGACACCCAGAAAUGCUGCCACUGUGGCCUAGCAGGAAUAGCAGCGGGGGGCUGAGGGCCCAGGCCUGGACCUUCCUCUUCCACUGCUGCUGCAGUGCAAGAGAUGGCCCACACAAGCCCUUAUCUGGGUCGCGGGAGGCGGGAUCU
Long non-coding RNA from Alligator sinensis (Chinese alligator), 2146 nucleotides. RefSeq lists it as uncharacterized. NCBI's taxonomy places the organism in Eukaryota, Metazoa, Chordata, Crocodylia, Alligatoridae. The transcript has 3 exons. The record is from RefSeq and is a predicted model, not a curated record.